CUCCAGCCCCAUGGCGCCCCCUGGAUGUCCGCAGGUGAACACCGCCGAGAAGAACCCGGGUUGCAGGGUGACGUUUUGGGUUUUUUCAGAGCCACAUGGUUCCACCUUCAGGCCAGAAUGACCCAGACCCUGAAUGAGAAAUGUGGGAAACAUUCAGCCGUGGGACGGAUAUAAUCUGCAUUAUGGUUCUGGACGUCUCAUCUGAAACUUUUUACUAGGUUCAGCAGCACUGAGCAACAUCAUCGCACCAUGAAGACCAAGGAGCUCCAGACAAGUCAGGGAAGUCAGAGAGGAACAAGUCAGGGUGGAGUUAGAAAAACAUCCAGACCUCUGAUGUUCCCCUGGUACCACAACAGACCUGCCAGGAGAGGACCGCCCAUCAGAACCCACAGACCGGGCAUUAAUCAGAGGCAGCACAGAGGUCAAAGGUCACCCUGAACGAGCUGCAGAAGUCCACAGCAGAGCCUGGAGGUUCUAUAGGACCAGAAUCAGCCGUACGCUCCAUAGAGCCGGGCUUCAUGGAGGAGAGUCCAGAAAAAAAGACAUUACUGAGUGUUAAAGAUGAAAGGGCAGGUCUGAGUUUGCUAAAAGGCACGUAGGCAGCUCCCCGUAAGCAGCCCUGGUCAGAUGAGACAAAAAUGAAACUUUUCACCCACCAAGGAAAGUUCUGUCUGGCCCAAACCCAACACAUCCCAUCCAUCCAGAACACCGUCCCCACAGUGGAGCAUGGUGGUGGCAGCAUCAUGCUGUGGGGAUGUUUUUCAGCAGCAGGGACUAGAGAACUGGUCUGAGUCGAGGGAAAGAUGGUCCUGAAUACAGGGAUGCUCUGGAUCAGAACCGGUGUCAGUCUGCCUGUCAUCUGAGACUGGGCCGGAGGUUCUGCUUCCAGCACAACAACGACCUGAAGCCUCCUGCUUGUAGUUCCUGGUUCGACUGCUUUGGUUUCCUGUUUUCUCUUUGCGGCAAAAUAAAAUUAAAUCCUGUUCCUGUAACUCUUGGUUGGUGCUUUAUUUAU
This is a long non-coding RNA of Fundulus heteroclitus (mummichog), 1015 nucleotides long. RefSeq lists it as uncharacterized. NCBI's taxonomy places the organism in Eukaryota, Metazoa, Chordata, Actinopteri, Cyprinodontiformes, Fundulidae. The record is from RefSeq and is a predicted model, not a curated record. The transcript has 3 exons.